Small nucleolar RNA from Rhododendron vialii, 94 nucleotides. RefSeq annotates it as small nucleolar RNA snoR128. The transcript has a single exon. NCBI's taxonomy places the organism in Eukaryota, Viridiplantae, Streptophyta, Magnoliopsida, Ericales, Ericaceae. The record is from RefSeq and is a predicted model, not a curated record.
UUGCUGUGAUGAUAACUUGGAUUAUUGAAAGCUUUGAUUUAAAGCUUGAUGGAAUGUCGACAAGUAUGUCGAUCCUGAGCGGUUACCUGAGCAA